AGUUCAGAUUGCAGGCUGCAACUCGCCUGCAUGAAGUUGGAAUUGCUAGUAAUCGCGAAUCAGAAUGUCGCGGUGAAUACGUUCCCGGGCCUUGUACACACCGCCCGUCACACCAUGAGAGUCGAUAACACCCGAAGCCUGUGAGCUAACCGCAAGGGGCAGCAGUCGAAGGUGGGGUUGAUGAGUUGGGGUGAAGUCGUAACAAGGUACC
Molecule: ribosomal RNA, 211 nt
Filed under: uncultured bacterium
Lineage: Bacteria
Description: partial 16S ribosomal RNA
Rfam family: Bacterial small subunit ribosomal RNA
Source: RNAcentral